This 423-nucleotide unclassified non-coding RNA is filed under the name Hevea brasiliensis (rubber tree). Lineage: Eukaryota; Viridiplantae; Streptophyta; Magnoliopsida; Malpighiales; Euphorbiaceae. The record is from RNAcentral.
AUGGCGAAUGUAAGCAUUUUGCUGCAAAAGGUAAAAAUAUAACAAAUAUUUUCUCGUAUUCUUUCCAAGUAAAAUAUCAAAGGGGUAGAGAAAGCGAGGAUAUCUAUGAAGCAAUAAUAGAACAAUCACAACUCUACCAGUGCUAUCACUUAAGAGAGUGCAAGUGACAGAAAGGACAGCUAAACUACAAGGAAAGAUUUUUCAAAAUAAGCUUGUCCAAGCCCAAUAAUAUUAUUUAUAAGACGCUAAAAGCAUCUCUUCAUUGGAAGAAAAGCAUUUAUGAACAAGGUAUUGGAAAACUGCAGAUACAAACAUCAUGAAAAUUUAAGACACUGAAAUUGGUUCGGGUUUGGACAAUAAGGGUCUGUGAAUUUAGAUUUAUAGCUGCAUUGCCUCAUAUGAAAUUAUUAAAUUUUAAAGAAA